UCAUAAGAUGGAGUAAUUUACAAGUCAAUCAACUACUUCAUUGCCUUCUCAAAGGCCAUGAGAAAUAUGAAGCAUCCAACUAAGGUUGGCUCUUGCGACAGUCCAACUCGAAAGCUUUCGAUCGGGAAUUUGGACACACUGCGGUCAAGCCCAAAGUAGUAAAGCCCAGUAUGACCUGAAAAGAGUACAUAGCCUGGACCACUCGUGGACCAAAAACAAAAUAAUUAACAGCCUAGCUAGUUCACUCGUUU
Molecule: non-coding RNA, 251 nt
Organism: Lupinus albus (white lupine)
Lineage: Eukaryota; Viridiplantae; Streptophyta; Magnoliopsida; Fabales; Fabaceae
Source: the annotation of a GenBank genome assembly